CUUGUUAAUCUUACAACUGGAAGUUUGUACCCUUUGACCAAUCUCUCUCCUCGUUUCCCCCACCCCCAAGUCCUUGCUCUUGAUCUUUCUUAUUUGGUAUUUAUUCCUAGAUUCUUUUGUCUCAAUUUUAACUGAGAUGCUACUAUGUGUCAAUGUGCCAGGUGUUAUAGAUGUGGCGGUACACAAAAACAGAUAUAAUUUUUACCCUUAUCUAGCUUAUGGACUAGGCUUCCUCACCAUUUUGGGUUGAAAUUUUAAUAUUUUUAUUGUGUUUUUUAUUUUUAGAACUUGAAGAUAAUUUUCCUUGCUGGAGAAAAAUAAAUUCUAUUGUCUGUUAGCAAAUUGCUCUCUUCUGCAAGCAAUAGGGUCCUUCUCUUCCUGCCUUUUCUUUCCUCAUUGCUUACAAUAUGAUGGAAAAGUACUUUAUAUCAUCCUAAGUAUUUUUCACAAGUUUCAGCUCAUUUUUAAUGUAACGUUUUUGACACUGAUUUAAAACAUAUUGUAUAUACAGGUGUGCAUGCUUUUAAACUUUAGAGUGUAUCAUAUGUGUUUUUUUCAUUUAAUUAAAUAUAUUCUGAAAACAUGAUAUUUAAUGUCUGUUUAAUAGUCCAUCUUAUUUAACCAUCCCCUAUUUUGGGCUAUUUGGUUUGAGUCCAAUUUUUUUUUUUCGCUUGUUCUUCAAUUUUAAAUAGUGCUUCUGUGAACAUCCUGGUACAUAAUUCUUUGACUGCGUUUCUAAUUAUUUCCUUAUGCUGUGCUCCAGCCUCCCAAUACUGUCCAUUUCUUGUGCCCAGGGACUAAGUAGACUGGCUGUUUUUCCUAUCCAUGUCCAGUGAAUGCAUUUUUCACUCAGUGAUCUUCAGAACUUUUUUGAUGACUGACCAGAUGGAGUGUUGCUCAUCUGUGCCUCAAGAUCUUCCACAGUCCCCUCCAACUUUCACUCUUGCAGCAGUCUGGGACAUCUGCAAGGCCAGGAGAAGAAAGGUUGCCUGCCACAGCAUGGUUUGAUAAAUGGUGCACAAGUCCAUGCCCCAGAUCCGAACUGGUGAACCCUGGGCCCCUGAAGCAGAGCACGAGAACUUAACCACUGCACCAGUGGGCCGGCCCCUGGGAUGUCUUCUUACAGUAAACCUAGCCACAAAAAGCCAGGUGCUACUGUGGUCCUAAUUAUGUGCUAUCCAUGAAAGGCACAAUGUAAGGACCUAAAUUUUGAGAAAAAAUUCUAAAGAUUUCCUGAGGCCUUUGCAGAGAAUGAGAUCUACAACCAUCAGAAAUGGGCUGGUGCAUUUUGGAGAUUUACAGCAUGGUAGCGAACCGCUGAAGCUCUGCAUGUUGACAGGCGAGAUUUGACUAGGAGCUCUAGCAUUUAUCAGCUCAGUGGCCUCAGGAGCAGGAUCUCUGACCUCCAGGCUGGAGCCUUCCUGGCCAUCUUCAAGUCUAACUUUAAGUGCUGACAGAAUUAUAUAGUACUUGCCAAAGCUAUGUGAAUUUAUGGACUAACAAGUCAUUUGUCACAAACCGGAGGUAAGUGAGAUCCUGAGUUGGGGGAAGGCAGGAGCCCUUGCUCCUGUGACCCAUGACCCGGACGCUGGUUGGACUAAUUCCAGUCAUGCAUACUGGGUAGUUUCUGUAGUCAGCCUGGACCUUCUGCUCAGUUCCAAUGGGCAGCCUUAUCCUUUUGGGGGAUAAAACCAUUUGGUAAUUUCUCCGUGAUAAGCUUAGCAUUUUAUGGUGAGGAAAGUACCAAGUUUUCUUAUCACUUUCUUAUUAUACACUGUUUUUUUUAGAAUGUUAUAUUAUAUACUCCGUUUCUUUUAGGAUUAUUUCUCUCGUUCCCAGAGACCCUGUCUUACCUUGAGAUAUUUAGUUCAUUUUUGGAAAGUCAGAAAGUACUUCUGAGGAAUGAUUUUAUUAGAAGGGCUAACCAUUUGAUCCAACCUCUAAAGAAUGUGGCAGCAAAAGAUGUUUCUUGUAGGAAGAAGGACACUAUAUAAACGAACCCAUCCACAUUAGGUGAAACAUUUCACAACAUUACUUUUCAAAUAACAAACAGCUAAUUGUCGGCAAAUUUCUAUGUCAAAUGUAUAAACAAUUAGCCAAAUAUUGGAGUCUUGGAGAGUGAAAGAAAUUACUUGGAUCAGAAAGAGUUCAGGCUGGGAACAUGUAAGAAUUUUAAUGACAGUCACCCUCACAACAGUUGGGGGAAUACUUGCUGCUAUUGCCAGGUGCUGUUGCUCUUCAUCCAAGCAGAACAGUAUGGUGUUUAAGUGGGUGGACUCAAGACGCAGGUCGUCUGGAUUUGGAUCCUAGCUGUGUCACCUGAAAGCCAUGUGCCCUUGGAUAAGUUAUUUAGCCUCCCUGUAACUCAGUUUCCCCUCCCUGUGACUGAGUCACAAUAAGGAGUAGUAAUAUUACCUACCUCAGAAGAAUGUCAUAAAGAUUAAAUUAGUUGUUAUAAAGUACUUAGGACUAACUCGCACACAAAAUAAGUGAGUGUAAAUGUCUGUUAGGUUAAUACCAUGCUAUCAAUCUAUUUACAAUGUUAAUGAGUCUGCUGUGUUCAAAGAUACUGUACUACAGGAUGGUCCCUGCCUAUAAGGGAUGUUUAGUGAGGGAAAACUGAUGCCAUUCAGUAUGGAAAAGUGGAAGCUGGAUAUAUGCUUUCAAAAAUAAUGAUGUAAAAUUCUAAACUUGAAUUGAUUUUAUUUUAGCUAGAAAAUAUUAAAGUGGUUACUUUUUAUUGUUGACUCCCUAAGGGCAGAGACCGCCCAUAAUAUAUAUAUAUACAAUAUGUAUAAAUACUUCACAAGGCAUAGCAGAGGGGGAGACACAAGGGUAAGGGCUAAUCAAAGUAAAUUAAAAUUUACUCAUAUAGAUAAGAAGCUACUUUAUAUUACCUUAUAAUUAGGGUAAAUGCAGCCCUUUUAACACAGACCUGACCCUCGCAUCUCAAAUAUCUCCAUUUGCUGAACUGCUCAUGUCAGACCGCCAUGAUCAUUCAUGUUACAGAGAACUUGUUACAAACGAAAACCAAAAUGCUAUAUUUACACUGUCUAGAAUUAGAAUAAAAUUAAACAAUUUAUACGUGAGUCAUAUUUAAACAAUCUAUAUUUAUAAAAUAAUAUCUUAGGAAUUACAAUUCUACCAAAAUUCAAUAUAAGCAACUGCAUAUUCACUUAACUAGCAGCAAUAACACGAAAAGAGAAAAAUUUCAAGAUAAUUUUAAAAGAGAGACAAAAUAAACUUAAAAUGGAAGCAAUUUAUUCUUAAGACUCACACUUAAUAGUCUACAUUUGUAAAAUAUUACCUGAAUUUUAAUUCUAUCAAGCUUCCAUUUGAGUAAUGGUAUGAUCACUUAACAGCAAUGAAGCUAAAAGAUAGAAAAUGCAAAAUUUCUUUAGAAAAGAAGCCAAAGAAUUUUGCUGUGGUUCAGGCUCUUCAGAGGUAGGUUCAUUGGAGGGCUGAAUUCUUCUGCUUUCAGGAUAUGAGGAGAGGGGAAAUACCCAGUGCUUGGUGUAGAGACAUUUCUCCUUGCUAACAGAAGAUGUGUUAGGCCGGGGGCAUCUCUCGAUGAUGAGUAUUCUUUGGGACGUCCAUACUUGUCAUACACGAACUGCCCCUGGAACUCUGCUUCAACAUCUGACUGGAGGAUAUGGUAGAGGAAGAAAGGCUGAACCUGAAUCAGGUGUACAUAGGUGGCCAAGAUCAUUUUGAGUGUCAUUUCUCCUCGAUUCCAUCUUUGAAAUGCACAAAUCCUAACAGAAGAAGACAGUAAAUUUUUAAGUUCUGAUGGUCCAGAGAAAGUUUUCCAAGUUAGACAGUAUAGGAUAAAUUGCAUAUGGCUCUUGUUCAGAAAUUAUUGGAAAAGUAUAAUGAUGAUGGAGGGAACACACUAUGAUUUUGAUGCCAUAGAAGUGACAUUUGGUCCACAGAGGAUACAUUCAGACACUCGAUCCCUCAGCCAUCACAGCUUGAUGGUGACCUGAUAAUCCAGAAGAUGCUUUGGGGGUCCUCUCAGACCUUUGACAUAUGCCUCACUUUAAACAUUGGGGCAUAAAGAGGUCCUUUCCACUUAAAAGAUUAAAUGAAUCUCUGCCUCAUUGAGUUUUCCCUUCUGUCAUAUGUAUUUUCUUUUAAAUUCGUUGAGUUUUCUCUCAGCCAAUAGAAUUUUCUACCAGUUAUUAUGAGCUUUAUUUCUCCUGGGACAUCCUUUGGCUUUAAUAAGAACACAUGCUUCUUCCUGCUUUUCCUGCAAGAAGUUUUGCUUGUAGGUGUGCAGCUGUUCACAAUUAUGGCUGAUUGUUUCAUCUGCUUUGGACAGUUUCUCCUCCAUCAAGUGGUAAAUUCUCUAUUAAAUGAAUAUUCCAGCAUAUUUUACUUCAUUUUCUCAAUGAAGGUCAGAAGGGACUGAGUCUUUGGUGAAGAUUUCAAAUAUCGCGUUCAACACACUGCAUUUUCUGUCUUCAGUGAAGUCAGUUUUAAAAUUUUUAAAUUCUCAGUUUAGAAAAUUUUAUUAUGAUCUGUAAAUCCCUUGUGUAGAAUAGAAAUGUGCUUGAGAAGGUGAAAACUUUGCAAGAAAAUAAUUUUAGUAAAUGCCGAUUUUUCAAAGAGAAACUUUGGAAUUUGUGGAGCCUUUCUAAAUCAGCUUUUUUUUUCCCCCAUGAAGACCUUUUACAUAAAUAUUGCUGAACAUUCUUUCUUAAAUGUAAACAGGGCUUGGAUCAUUUUUUUCAAUGUCUGCUGGUAUAAACAUUGUCCAUGGUUAUUAAAAUAUUUUUAGCAUCACAAUGCAACUUAAGUAUGUGACUUUAUCCUCCUGGCUUUGGCACCUGCAGGAAAUACGUGAGUUUCCUUUUCGGUAUGUGUAAUAUGAAAUAUACCUGCCAUUGCACGACAGGCAGAAAGUCACCAACUUAAGUCCAUAGUUCUUUCUUCCUACUUUGCAAAGCAAUUGAUCAUUAGGGAAUUAAUCUCAAAUGAUUUAAGUUUAUAUGCCUUUGUGAAAUAGUUCUGUGUGUGAGUGAGUGUAUUUGAGGAAGGCCUUUAAUGUCUUUGUUAUUGAUCUUACUGUCCAUUGAUCUGCUUAUUCACAUAGUGGCGGUCUUAUUAUCUAUUGCUACAUCUGCUGUGAAAACCCAAAUAGUAUUGCUUAUCAGAGCCUGGAAUUGCCAUGAGAGUAACUUCUUGUUUCUCUUCAAAUAUGAUGAAAGAUGGCAACAAUAAAAUAGUCUUGUAAAAUGAUCUUUUAUUCUACUGUAUUUCAUUAUGGGAAAGAAAAAUUUUAAAGGCAUUUUUCAAAAGCCUAUAUUUCACCUAAAUAAAUCCUUCUAUUCAAAGAUAUGUGUAUACAGCAUAUGUAUUUAUGUAUAAGCAGAAUUUUUGUUUAUGUCUGUGUAUACAAUAUCCUUACCUCUUUUCAUUAUAGGAUAGAAUGCAAAGCUAGGCAGUCCUCUCAAAGGGGAUUAUCUUUUAACAUAUUUGAGUCAAUUUUAAGAAAAUCAACCACAAAACUUGAUUAAAUUACCAACUUUAUUUGAUUUUGUUUAUUUUUAAUGAAUUCUUUUGUGAUUUUUGUCUGGAUAAAAUUCAGGCUAUACAUUGUACCUUUUGGAACACACCCAUCAACAAAUUGCAAACUUCUGUAACUUCCACCAUUUUGAAGUUAUCUUCUUUUGUUAAACUUUUUACAAAAUCACACACAAAAACAUCAAGAAAAUAUCAUCUAACAUGCACUCCAUGUAACUUUUGCACUUAUGUUUGUUAAUGCUAAUAGAUCUGGGGACAAAUAGAUUCCCUGUAUAAACCUAGAUAUUUUUAUUAAAAACUUGUGUUUCUGUAAGCUUGAGGUCUUAUCUGCUUACUCACCACUCUGUUCCCAGACUCUGGAAUAAUGCAGACGAAUAGAAGAAGAAUAAAUACUAGGCUUUCAUAAAAUCACACGAAUGGGUGGACUUUUGAGUUGUCAUUGUAUGUCAACAUCAUACACAUCUAUUGUUGAACAGUAUUUUAUGCUUACCAUGUGCCUUUGUGUACAAGACAGUCCUUAUAAAAAACAUAUGAGAUACGAAAAUAAAGAUGCUCAGAAUGUGUCUAUUUUACUGGUGAGAAAGUUAACAGAUGGCACAAUGAGGCCAGAACUUCUGAGCCGUGAUUCACCACACUCUUCAUUCUACUGCCUCUCAACAGAUAUCUGCUCCAGCCAAUAAUCAUGAGGACCGUAACAGCUAUAUUUCCAGGGAGAUGUGUUGUUGGCAUUUGGUUUAUGGUAUAUUCCAAAAUAUAGUCAUCCUCAAUGAUCGAUAAUUUACUUUAUAAUUUAACCAAAUUAUUUGACUGAAAUUUAAGUCCAUUUCUCCAUAAGAGGACUCAGGCAUUAUGACAGAAAGUGAGUUAUAUUUUUUAUGUAAUAAUCUUUUAUAUAUUUGAAAGAUUUACAAGUAAUUUCUGAGCCUUUUCUAACUUCUGUAGUAUUUUUUUAUAGGACUUUCAUUCCUUUCUUGUAGUAAUUUUUAUUCCAUUCAAUUAGCUAUCUUUUGUCUCUCUGCUCUACCUUCAGUAUGUUAUCUCCAAUUCACUUUAUAUACUUCUUUCAAACUUCAUUUAGUGCUAUUUCAUAUUCACAAUUUUAAUUAACUUUCUAUAGCAUGUAGAAAUACAUGCUUAGCCUAGUGCUCAAAACCUUAAAUGAGCUAAUCCAACCUACCAUUGCAACCUUAUUUUUCUCUAUUCUUGUUGAUGACUUUCAUAUAACUGAGCUUCGGCCUGAAGCAGCAUGGACUUAUGAAAUUGUGGUUUUAUCAUUUAAGAUGUUGACUAUUGAGUAAGCAUCCUCAAAGAUCAGUGGCACCUCAUCAUUUUUUAUUUCAUUGAGGCCUGUAUUUGUACUGUGAGAGUUAUAAGCUAGCGUGAAUGUGAAAACAGCACCCAAAACAAAACGCUAUUUUGUAUCCAUUCUACCCGAGUAUAGUGUGGGGCUUGCAAACUUUUGGUCCCAGUACUCCUUUACACCCUUAAAAGUUGUUGAGGCUCCCAAGGAGCAUAUAUUUAAGUGGAUUAUAUCUGUAGAUACUUACUGUAGAAGAAAUUAAAACUGAGGUCUUUAAAACUAUUAAUUCAUUUAAAUUAACAACAAACCUAUUAUAUGUUAACGUGAAUACAUACUUUCAUGAAAAAUAACCAUUUUUCUAAAACAAAAAAUAAUUAGUGAGGAGAGGGACGCUGUUGCACAUAUUUGCAAGUCUCUUUAAUGUUUUGCUUGGUAGAAGAUUGCUGGAUCCCCACAUCUAUCUGUACUCAGCCUUUUCCAUGUCAUUCAACAGGUAGCCUUUGGGAAACUCUACUGCACACUUAUGAAAGAAUGAGAGUGAAAAAGGCAAAUAACUCCUGGAUAUUUGAUGAAUGUUGUUUUGAUUUUAUAGUCUCCCUUAAAGCGUCUCAGACCCUCCCUGGACGGUCUUUGGAACCUAUCUUGAGAAACACUAGUGUAGUGAGCAAGAGCUUAGCUUUGAAGCCCCACUCCCUGUGUGUGUAGCGACACUUCACCUCCUAGCUUCGUGAUCCUGGGCAAGUUAUUAAACUUCUUGUGCCUCAGUGUGCUCCUCUCUAAAAUGGAAUUAAUAAUGAUAUCUAUCUCUUAGAGAUGUUUUGAGGAUUAAAUAAAUUAAUACUGAUUUGCAAUCACCACAGUGUCUAACGCUGGGAAUAGUCAGUUUUGUGAGUAAGGAAAAUGCAUUUUUCUCUACCUCCCUCUGUCCUUGGUUUUUUAAUGUCUUUUCUUAUCCAAAGUAAUAUUUAUUUUUUUAAAGAGAGAAAAGAAUGGAAUAUAUUUUAGUUUGAUCAAGGUUUUUGGCAGUGUUAAUCCUUCUAUAUUCAAGUACAGCUAAAUUAUCCAUAGGGAUUUCAAUCUGUACCUGAAAAAAAUAAAAGCGAGUUCCAGACUUUUUUAUUACCCGCUCAAGUUCUAUUCAUUCCUUUCGUAUUCACCAGUCUUCCUUUUCCUUCAGCAACCUAUCGGCUAAACUAGAUUAAGAGAACACAAGCAAGUCUAGGAUGAAUUCAUUCAUUCUUUCAUUCAUUCAUUCAUUCAUUUACCACAAACUUAUCGUGCCUAUGUCAGGCUUUCUGCUAAGCUCUGGUAUGCAGUCUUAUAAUCUAGCGGAAAAGGACAUACAUUAAACUAGCCAACAAGAAAAAUAAAUGUAUGAAUAAAAACUGUGAGAAGUGCUUGAAAUACUCUUUCUCGUUGCUUUUUAUGCUUUGGAUAUUAUUGGAUAACUAUUGUUAGUUAAGAUACAAUUGACAUAUAUGAGUUAUAGGUGGACAACAUAAUGAUUCAAUAUAUGUACAUAUUGCCAAAUGAUCAC
Molecule: non-coding RNA, 8363 nt
Organism: Equus caballus (horse)
Lineage: Eukaryota; Metazoa; Chordata; Mammalia; Perissodactyla; Equidae
Source: RefSeq, a predicted model, not a curated record